UAGCGGAGGAAAAGAAACCAACAGGGAUUGCCUUAGUAGCGGCGAGUGAAGCGGCAAAAGCUCAAAUUUGAAAUCUGGCACUUUCAGUGUCCGAGUUGUAAUUUGAAGAAGGUAUCUUUGGGUCUGGCUCUUGUCUAUGUUUCUUGGAACAGAACGUCACAGAGGGUGAGAAUCCCGUGCGAUGAGAUGUCCCAGACCUAUGUAAAGUUCCUUCGAAGAGUCGAGUUGUUUGGGAAUGCAGCUCUAAGUGGGUGGUAAAUUCCAUCUAAAGCUAAAUAUUGGCGAGAGACCGAUAGCGAACAAGUACAGUGAUGGAAAGAUGAAAAGAACUUUGAAAAGAGAGUGAAAAAGUACGUGAAAUUGUUGAAAGGGAAGGGCUUGAGAUCAGACUUGGUAUUUUGUAUGUUACUCUCUCGGGGGUGGCCUCUACAGUUUACCGGGCCAGCAUCAGUUUGAGCGGUAGGAUAAGUGCAAAGAAAUGUGGCACUGCUUCGGUAGUGUGUUAUAGUCUUUGUCGAUACUGCCAGCUUAGACUGAGGACUGCGGCUUCGGCCUAGGAUGUUGGCAUAAUGAUCUUAAGUCGCCCGUCU
Molecule: ribosomal RNA, 590 nt
Filed under: Lodderomyces parapsilosis
Lineage: Eukaryota; Fungi; Ascomycota; Pichiomycetes; Serinales; Debaryomycetaceae
Description: eukaryotic LSU rRNA
Rfam family: Eukaryotic large subunit ribosomal RNA
Source: RNAcentral